GAAAUCGGACACCUACUUUCUCAACCCUUCCCAAACAGUCUUAUCUGCACUUCCAGCUGUCACUAUAACACUAUACAAAACAUUAACGCGCAAUUCAGACUUUAACUGCAGCAACUGACUCCACAAGUUCAGACGAUCGACAUCGAUAAAAAGUCGCCGUAAACUUGCGGUUCAAGAAAACAAACUUGAAGAAACACGGACGGAGGGCGGGAGGAAAGGGAAAGCCAGAGGGGUGUUUCCUCUCCAGCCGACUGCAGAGGAAGGAUUGAAGUAGUGAGAAAUAAUUCAUUAAACAGCGUCAAAUGUUGAAAUACAUUGAAUUUUAGCUGACAGUCGCGAUGUCGACAUCAGUUUUACAAUAAAAGCCUGUCUAUGCAGGACUAGCAUCACUCUCCAACGGAUGGAGGAGAAUCCAGACAGCGGCAGGUAUUAUGAGAGGACCACUGAUGACCCCUCACCCUCGGGCCAGGGGACUAAAGAGCAAAGUGAGGAGUCCCCCCUGGGUGAUCACGACCUACCCAUCAUGCAAUGGGAAGAUUUAAGUUUGCGGAUUGCAGAGCUAGAAAGGCAGGAAGAGGAAAGAAGGAAAAAAGCAGAGAGUCUAGGUUUAUCAGAGCGAGACAGAAUACUUGGAUGCUGGACAGAAUCAAAACAGCAUUCACUCCAUCGAGAGCCAUGGGCGGAUGAGAACGACUACAGUCCCUGCCGUGUCCCUGUCAUAACGUCACGGUUUAAUAGUCCUAAAAACCUUCAGCUGUGUUUCAUCAACAACAGUGAGAGUGAGGAGGAGGAGGAUGACGAAGGAGCAUCUAGCAAAGAGAGUUCAUGUGAGGCAGAGGUACGUGGGAGUUGCUCUCGGGGGCUAAAACAGGAAGUAAAAGCAGCACUCGGGACUCUCAGAGACAAGCUAUGGGCCGAACAGAAGGAGAAAGAGCAAGCCACCCACAGUAGCAUGAACAUAAGGAGAAAUAUUCUUAGCCUUAGUGAUCUGCAGACAUGCUCUUUACUGCAGCUGAAUGCGCUCAGGGCCUCGCUGAACGAGGACAUUCAAGAUUUGAGCUCAGAACUGGUGAAACAUCUCGUAGUACGGGACCACCUUCGGACUAAGCAAGAUGCUUUGCUCCUGGAUGUACAGGAUAUGACAUCAUUAUGAACGAUCUUUUUGUUUGGAACACUGUGUAACUGCAGUUUAACGUUGGCACUUUCUGAAAGCAGUCAUUUACUGUUACUCAUCCUGUGGACUAACAAAGGCCAGAAUAUCCUGUUUAUUCUUGAAGAAAUGUAGCCCUCACAGAAACUUUUGUUCAAAUGUGAGUCACAUUUAUUAUAGUCACAAGUUUUAUUGUGGGAAAAAGUGCCUUAUAACAAACUCUAAUGGCUCUGAUCAUAUGUCACUUACAGUUUAAUUUUACUUCCAUAAAUAGAGAAUAUAUUGAGCUGCUGUCAAAGCCAUAUGUGAUCAAUAACUGUGAUGUAUUAAUCAUCAGUUACUUUAAGCAUUCCAUUGAAAUACAGUAUAUGUAAUCGCCAUGAAAUGCCGUCAUAUGAAUGUGCCUUAUAACUUUCCUGUGUAUCGAACUUAUACAUGAGAAUGAAGUAUAUCUCAGUGCUAAAUAUUCACAAUAAUUUAAUAAAUCAUUUAUUUUAUGCACAGUCGUUGGGACAAGCGGUUAUGCCAUACAUACUCUGCAUUAAAAGAUACUUAAGUUCCUUUUGUGGUUCCUUAUAGAUUAAAGUCAGAAUUAAUGUUGUGAUAUUUUUUCAAUUGAUUUUUUAUGAAAAAUAAAUAAUAAAUAAAGUAAUGCACAUUUUUAUACAUUUGUAUGAAUAAAUGUGUACUUUUUUGACU
This is a long non-coding RNA of Sinocyclocheilus grahami, 1849 nucleotides long. Ensembl annotates it as schwannomin-interacting protein 1-like. NCBI's taxonomy places the organism in Eukaryota, Metazoa, Chordata, Actinopteri, Cypriniformes, Cyprinidae. The record is from Ensembl.